AUACGGAGGAUCCGAGCGUUAUCCGGAUUUAUUGGGUUUAAAGGGAGCGUAGGUGGAUUGUUAAGUCAGUUGUGAAAGUUUGCGGCUCAACCGUAAAAUUGCAGUUGAAACUGGCAGUCUUGAGUACAGUAGAGGUGGGCGGAAUUCGAGGUGUAGCGGUGAAAUGCUUAGAUAUCACGAAGAACUCCGAUUGCGAAGGCAGCUCACUAGACUGUUACUGACACUGAUGCUCGAAAGUGUGGGUAUCAAACAGGAUUAGAUACCCUGGUAGUCCACACGGUAAACGAUGAAUACUCGCUGUUUGCGAUAUACAGUAAGCGGCCAAGCGAAAGCAUUAAGUAUUCCACCUGGGGAGUACGCCGGCAACGGUGAAACUCAAAGGAAUUGACGGGG
Molecule: ribosomal RNA, 393 nt
Filed under: uncultured bacterium
Lineage: Bacteria
Description: partial 16S ribosomal RNA
Rfam family: Bacterial small subunit ribosomal RNA
Source: RNAcentral